Long non-coding RNA from Triticum dicoccoides, 3777 nucleotides. RefSeq lists it as uncharacterized. The transcript is spliced from 3 exons. Lineage: Eukaryota; Viridiplantae; Streptophyta; Magnoliopsida; Poales; Poaceae. The record is from RefSeq and is a predicted model, not a curated record.
UUCUCUUUCCUCUCGCCUCCUCCUCUCCGCCCUCUCGCUCGACGCCGCCAUGGCCUCCCCCGCCGCUCAUCUCCACCUUCUCCGACGUUCUCUCUUGCUAGCCAUCGCAUCUCCUCGGCCCAUGGAUUUCGGUGCAAUGCAUCUAGGCCACCACGUCUCCUCUUUUUCUCCCAGAUUUCGAUCUGGAGUGGGAGAGAUAGAGUCAGCCAUAAGCGCCGGUGCCGGCACGGGAUGAUAGAGAUGCCACCUCUCCUCUUCUCGCCCCAUAUUUGGGUGGUCGAGCCGACGAGGAUGAGGGGCGGAGUAGUCGUAGCAGGCGCAGUGCUGGCGAACGCGAGCAGCAGGCACAACAGGCGGUAGUGCUGGCGAAUCGAUUGUUCAGGUGCGUCAGCCAUGAAAGUUGCAGAAACAAAUCAUGUAAGUUCCUCUAAUUUUCUUCCAUAAAUUUUCUCCCUUGGGUAUAUAUAAAGACUGCACAAAAGUUAAUUUCUUUACUUCUCGACCGCGUCUAAUUUUGGGAAAAAGAGACGGAUUUGAGAGAAAUAGGCAACAUGAAGAUCUUUUGUUUCUUUGCAUUUUUGACCGCAUCUAGUUUUGAAGAAAAGAGAGGAAUUUGAGAGAGAUAGACAAUCUGAAGGGAUGUUGUGGCUACAAUCAUCCUUCUUGUAGUCACAAAGGGUACUUUUUGUGGCAUGAUUUCUUUGCAGGUUGAUAAAAUCGCACACAACGACUAGGUUCAGGUUGCUCUGUUUAUGAAGAUUUGUGCUGCUCUAUUGCUCUGAGGUUAUUCAGUUUUACUUUCCAAGUUGAUAAAAGAACACACACUCAUCAAGUUCAGUUUGCUCUGACUGUGGCAAUCAUGGCUAUCCCAGGAGCAGGUUCAGCUUCUGUACAUCCAUUUUUUGGGCUACUUUGCAUCUUUCAGAUCUGCAAUUACAUAUGAUGCUAUUUCCCUUCUGCCAUAUGAUGGACUGCUACUUCUUCUCAGAUGUGUUGGUUUUUGUGGGUCCAUUGGUUGCUUCAUUUUCAGUUAUAUGAUAGCUCGGGGCAUGCUCACCAGUUGUUCUGUUAAAAUGACAAAACCGACUGAAAUUUAUCUCUUAUAUGUGUUACUAAAUACUAGAGGUGAUUAUUUUCUUUCUAGGGAUUACAAUUUUAUAAGCGUUAUGAUUUUGAGACUUUGAGGUCCCAACUAAUUAGUCUUUGAGAACUCAACGCUUCUAUAUAGAUAUAAGUAGUAUUUCUGACAAUGAGCAUCUCCGAAGCUGCAGCCAAUGCUAAAAGUAGUGCUUAUAGCUGUAGUAGGCGAUAAAUCGUUAGAACUAAUGUGUGACACUUAUUUUGCAACAUCAAUAUCCAAGUUUUUCAACAUUUUACAAUCUUACUAAUGUGUGUCACCAAGUUUCUCUGUUUUAGAUGGUUCUGUCUUUUUACUUCUGAAAAUGGGUGUGUGUUCUGUUUAGCUGACUAUAAUUCUCAGGCUAGCAUCUGGUUUAGAAUUCUGCAAUAUUGUGUCUCAUUGCACUUUGAAGAUACACCACACUAUCAGUGGUGAUUUAAAUCCGCUUAUUUCUUAGCUACAAUAUUCCAUAGAAUAACUUGGACAUGUUUGUUGUAUAUUUUGCUCUUUGCCUAUCAUCGAACAUAUAAACCCUGCCGGGCUACCCGCCCAGCCAGGGCACUUCCCGUGCGCAGCUUCGUCCACCGUUCGAUUCGUCUGACUCUGCAGCGCUGGCUCCUUUUCUAUCGUUCAUCAGUUUUCAUAGCUUCCACUUCCUAUUUUGAUUCUACCACAGAUGACGCAUGGGCCUAACUCUAACCUUUGCUUUUUCUUGAUUAUGUGGUGUGAUUGGAUGAGGUACGACAUGCAUGCACUAGCCGACCCGCACGCCUCGCCCAUUGGAUGGAGAGGGAGGGACACGAACCCUAGAACCGCAACCACUACUCUCCCCUUCCUAUUACUCACAUCAAUUAGUACAGACUUUUUGAUUACACAAGUAAUAUUAAUCUGGUUACCAUCAAGAGGACCAACAUCAAUUAGUGCAGGCUUUUCGAUUAUGUAAGUAGUAUUAGUGUAAUUAUUUCGUCUCCUAUGACAUAUGCAUGUGCCACUUUGAUCUUGGUCUUUAGUUUGUUUUAUUUCCCAGGAGUGACCUGAGAUUACUGUGAUGAUAUGUAAGACUAGAGGUAGAGUGAGUCAAAUAUGUACUAGAUGCACUAAUUUAGCUCAUUCCCUUGCUUCAUGCACUUCAGGUUUGGAUAUGUCCUUAUUUUCAUGAAACAUUAGGAGGAAAGUCAAGUCCCGUCAUCGACCAAAUUCGGGCCCCUGCACCUCCAGGACUAUGACAUUGGCACCUUCGACAUGUAACAGUAAGAGAACUAGCAUCGAUUAGUACAUGUUUUGAAAUUUAUUCAGGUACUUUUAAGGUAAACAUUCAUCUUCUAGCCAUGUUUGUGAAGUAACAUUGUUAGAGAAAUUCCCUGUAGCUUAUAUUUUGGGAUGAAUUAAGGUAUAAUUAGUUAUCUUCAGCAUUGAGAAUGGUUCAUGUUGCUCAUUAAUACAUGCAGAUUAGUGAACAAUCCAAUAAAAUGAACCUGUUAUUUUAGUGUCCAAUAUGUCUUUUUUUGUUGUUUAUUCAUAUUAUCAUCUAUUUGCCGAUCUGAAGCAUGAUGGGUUUGUUCUUUGUACUCUUUGCUUGGCUUCUUGGCUGCUUCUUGCUGUCAAGGUUAGUGUUCUAUGUCAUUCGUUUUUAGCUUCUUUUCCUUUUGUUUCUGUGCAUUACUUCUGGUGACUAACCGGGUAUUGCGAGCAUGCUCUACUUUUUUUGGUUUUAGUUUCUUAUGUUCCUUAUUUCAUUUAUACUGUUUCCUAUGCUCAGGAUGUACCCUGCUAUGUCAUUUGUGAUCCCUAUUUUGGAGACCAUAGUGGCACAGUUUGCUUUGCCCACUCUUUUAUACGUGUGUGAGAUUAUUGAUGGUGGGAUCAAGUUUGCUGGGGUGAAGCUUGAGCUUCCUACAAAUGGUGCCUCCCUGCCGCCAGAUAUGAGAUUCUUCUGGGCAGCUGGCGUCCACUUACGAUCCAAGGAUCUGCUCUGCUUGCGCUUCAGGCGGGUGGAUCAGGAGCUCUGUUGAUAGUUUUUGUUGCCUUUUUAGAGUCAGCCGCAAUGGAAAAAGUCAGGAUCCCAGGAAAGGACCUUCUGGACGCUAUGAUGCAGCAGCUUGGCCUUCCAAACGUAGUGUACUCAACAGAGAAGGCAAGGACGGUUGGUCUUGAUGCAACCAUUCACUAUGCAUGAAAGCACCAACUGGACAACUGACUUCCAAGGAAAUCAAUAUGCAUCUUCGUGUAAGGUAAACUCAAAGAAGCUGAAGAUCGACCGGCAACUAAAGCUCUCAAGUAGUCUAAGUGAAGUGAACUUUACCACAUAAUAGGUACAAACUUCACAGCAAGAUCAACACCCUGAGCCAACAAUCUGAAACAUAUUUUUUCACAAUAAGACAUGUUGCUGAUCGUCUUAAUGAUAUAAAUCUACAAUCAGAAGCCGUUAUACAAAAAACAAACAAGUAUUAUUGGAGCCUGGACGAUGAUAUCAAAGGAAUUUCUCCUCUGAGCAAUGCAGGCCAUGGAGAACAAUAGCUAUUAAGACUUGGCUCAAAGAAAUUGUUCUAAACAUCCAGCGAUACAUCUGUUUAACAUAGCUCUGCCUAUCUACAUGUCUUGCUCAAAACAUUGUAAAUGAUGGUUCGUAAGCCUUUCAGAAAACAUGUAUCAUCAGC